This 460-nucleotide ribosomal RNA is filed under the name uncultured bacterium. RNAcentral's name for it is "partial 16S ribosomal RNA". It matches the Rfam family "Bacterial small subunit ribosomal RNA", at positions 338 to 795 of the family's 1533-position model. The record is from RNAcentral.
CCUACGGGUGGCAGCAGUGAGGAAUAUUGGUCAAUGGGCGCAAGCCUGAACCAGCCAAGUCGCGUGAGGGAUGACGGUCCUAUGGAUUGUAAACCUCUUUUGUCGUGGAGCAAGGCCCGCCACGUGUGGCGGGAAGGAGAGUACCCGACGAAAAGGCAUCGGCUAACUCCGUGCCAGCAGCCGCGUUAAUACGGGGGAUGCGAGCGUUCUCCGGAUUUCUUGGGUUAAAGGGUUGCGUAUGCGGGCUUUUAAGUCAGCGGUAAAAAGUCGGGGCUCAACCCCGUACUGCCGUUGAUACUGGGGGCCUUGAGUGGGCGAGAAGAAGGCGGAAUGCGUGGUGUAGCGGUGAAAUGCAUAGAUAUCACGAAGAACCCCGAUUGCGAAGGCAGCCUUCCGGCGCCCUACUGACGCUGAGGCACGAAAGUGCGGGGAUCGAACAGGAUUAGAUACCCCAGUAGUC